This 492-nucleotide ribosomal RNA is filed under the name uncultured bacterium. RNAcentral's name for it is "partial 16S ribosomal RNA". It matches the Rfam family "Bacterial small subunit ribosomal RNA", at positions 29 to 507 of the family's 1533-position model. The record is from RNAcentral.
AGUGAACGCUGGCGGUAGGCCUAACACAUGCAAGUCGAACGGCGGCACAGUAAGAGCUUGCUCUUACGGGUAGCGACUGGCGGACGGGUGAGGAAUACAGCGGCAUCUACUGUUUCGUGGGGGAUAACGUAGGACAACUUAUGCUAAUACCUCAUACGACCUACCAGUGAAAUCAGGGGAUCUUCGGACCUUUCGCUCACGAAUGAGCCGAUGUCGGUUUAGCUAGUUGGCGGGUGAAAGGCCCACCAAGGCGACGAACCGUAGCUGGUCUGGGAGGAUGAUCAGCCCAACUGGAACUGAAACACGGUCCAGAUCCCACCGGGAGGAGCCAGAGGGGAACAUCGGACAAAGGGGACAAUCCUGAUCCAGCCAUACGGGGUGGGGGAAGAAGGCCUUCGGGUUGUAAAGCCUUUUUGUUGGGAAAGAAAAGCAUGAGGGUAAUACCCCGCUGAUCUGACGGUAACCAAAGAAUAAGCACCGGCUAACUUCGUG